Molecule: long non-coding RNA, 1615 nt
Organism: Clupea harengus (Atlantic herring)
Lineage: Eukaryota; Metazoa; Chordata; Actinopteri; Clupeiformes; Clupeidae
Source: Ensembl
UAACACUACUGACCAUGCUAACACUACUGACCAUGCUAACACUACUGACCAUGCUAACACUACUGACUGAUAACACUAUUGACCAUGCUAACACUACUGACUGAUAACACUACUGACCAUGCUAACACUACUGACCAUGCUAAUACUACUGACUGAUAACCCUUCUAGUGGAGUGGGAAGAGCGCAGCUCCAAACAGAUCAAUGAUGCCUCAGUUGGGCUGGACAUGAGGUGUGUGCUCAAACUCAGAGGACAUGAGGGGGUGCUGCUCCAGACCUUGGAUAUGUGUCAUCUGGUUUCUUCAGGAUUCAAAUAAAGUGGUGAAAAAACAUCAGAACUAUUAGAUGAAAACUGCCUGGAUAGUUACCACAUGAGAUCUGCCUGUUGAAACAUAGAGAUGUGCCUUAAGAUUGACAAGAACUGUUCUGUUAAUAUCUAACCUGUAGUCAGAAACACUGGGGUUAUGAAAGCCAUCCAUAAAUGUCAUGGAGGUUGGGGGAGGGACUGGGUGACUGUCUGCAGGGACACAGAGUUAUAAAACAGUUGAGCUUUACCAGCACAGCAGUUUGAUUAUUAACAGAAUGACGUCCUUCAGACUAACUACUUUUGGAGUUUCAAUAGAGUCUGGCACAAUCCUAAGAGAACAGCCACUUGAGAGCUUCAGAGAACCUGUCACCUUCUGAAAUAUGUGAGAAUGGGGACUGAGGACUGACAACUUAACAGCUGUCCCAGCCUGACCCCAAGCAUCCAGUUCGUAGUGGACUAAUAAUCUGGACCCCACAAUGACUGCAGCCCUGAGGGAAGAGCUGAGGAACACUCUGGGCAACCUCACAGGGGCCGAUUUUAAGAGGUUCAAGCACCUCCUUCGGGACCAGGGCCAAAUCCCAUGGGGAAAACUGGAGAAGGCCGACAUAAACGACACUGUGGACUUGAUGGUAGAGAUGUACUGCAUGAAAGCUGGGGACGUCAUGUUGACCAUCUUGAAGAAGAUGAACCACAACCAGUUGGCCAUGGAGAACGAUCUGGAAGAAUCCCUGAGGGAAGUGAAGAGAGUGCUGAGGAACACUCUGGGCAACCUCACGGAUGCCGAUUUCAAGACGUCCAAGCACCGCCUUCGGGACCAGGAUGACAAAAUCCCAUGGGGACAGCUGGAGAAGGCCGACAGAGAUGACACUGUGGACUUGCUGGUGCAGGUGUACAGCACGGAAGCUGGGGACAACAUGUUGACCAUCUUGAAGGAGAUUAACCAAAACCAGUCGGCCAUAGACUUGGAGAAAGAUCUGGAAGAAUGUGAGUGUGUAGCUCAUAGUCUCUGAUGAGGCAUCUGUGUAUGUAGGAGGAAUUACAUGUAUUCAUCGUAUCUGUUUCUGCUAACACUCUCUCUCUCUCUCUCUCUGACUUUCUCUCUGCUGACUUUCUCUGGGACUCUUUCUGUUUCAUUUAAUCUCUGUCUCCUUUUCUUUCCCACCUCUUUUUCUCUCUCAUUCAUCCCCUCUUUCUGUCUCCUCCCUCUGUCUGACUGGGUAUCUAUCUGUCUCUUCGUUCUCUCUAUCUUUCUCUGUGCCACUCUCCCCCUCUCUCUUCCUUUCAUCUCUCUCACUCUCUCUCUCUGACCCC